UUUUUAUUGAUUUUAUUUUAACAGGGGCACUAUCGUUUCAUACAUACAGACUAAUGGUGUCAAGAUCAUCAUGGCGAACCGCUCCCGCGCUGACAUUUGCAUUGCCCUGCUCUCUUUGCAUCUCAGUCGAACUCUGCAUUUAGGAUGCACCUUGUGUCAUGUUCAUGCCUUGGGGCAUUAUGGUUUCAUGGGUAGAGUUUGGACUACCAUGGGCAUAGUGUUGAACGAAGCAGCAGUCGGCCGUGCACACUGUGUGACUACUAACGACGUCGGUCUUUCGUGUAGGCUUGACUUCAAAUAUCUCGGCAAGGUACGUGAUUGCUUAUACUGUAGCACAUUGUACAAGUUCACACUCAUACACAAGCACCGUGUAAUUGGAUUGUGG
RNAcentral lists this long non-coding RNA (385 nucleotides) under Hordeum vulgare. RNAcentral describes it as "long non-coding RNA (HVUL_LNC020588)". The record is from RNAcentral. Lineage: Eukaryota; Viridiplantae; Streptophyta; Magnoliopsida; Poales; Poaceae.